This 399-nucleotide ribosomal RNA is filed under the name Hyperolius guttulatus (dotted reed frog). RNAcentral describes it as "partial large subunit ribosomal RNA". It matches the Rfam family "Bacterial large subunit ribosomal RNA", at positions 1854 to 2472 of the family's 2925-position model. The record is from RNAcentral. Lineage: Eukaryota; Metazoa; Chordata; Amphibia; Anura; Hyperoliidae.
CCGCCUGCCCGUGAUUUAUUUAACGGCCGCGGUAUCUUGACCGUGCAAAGGUAGCACAAUCAAUUGUUCUUUAAAUAGGGACUAGUAUGAACGGCAUCACGAAGGUUUAACUGUCUCCCCCCUUCAAUCAAUGAAAUUGAUCUUUCCGUGAAGAAGCGGAAAUAUAUAUAUAAGACGAAAAGACCCCAUGGAGCUUUAAACUUAUCAUUACUUACCUUAACCUAAAACAUCAUAUUAGGUAAACCUAUAAUGUAGUUUUCGGGUGGGGCGACCCUGGAGAAAAACUAAUCCUCCAAGCUGAAUAGAUUUAACUCUAAUGCUAGAAUGACAAUUCAAACAAUCAAAAUAUUGACAAAAUGAUCCAGAAUAUAUCUGAUCAACGAACCAAGUUACCCUGGG